AACGCACCUUGCGCUCCUUGGUAUUCCGAGGAGCAUGCCUGUUUGAGUGUCAUUAAAUUCUCAACCUCACCAAUUUUGUCAUGAAGUUGUGUGUAGGCUUGGAGGUGGGGGGUUUUGCAGGUCCACAAUAUGGUGGUCUGCUCCUCUGAAAUGUAUUAGCGGGUUAGGCCCCUAAUCUAUUGGUGUGAUAACUAUCUACUCCGUGGAUUGGGUUUUGGCUUAUCCAUAGACCUGCUCCAAACCGUCCUUCCCUGGACAACUCCUGACAUUUUUGGCCUCAAAUCAGGUAAGACUACCCGCUGAACUUAA
This 309-nucleotide unclassified non-coding RNA is filed under the name uncultured Coprinopsis. RNAcentral describes it as "partial contains 5.8S ribosomal RNA, internal transcribed spacer 2, and large subunit ribosomal RNA". The stretch from base 1 to 52 matches the Rfam family "5.8S ribosomal RNA", at positions 103 to 154 of the family's 154-position model. The record is from RNAcentral. Lineage: Eukaryota; Fungi; Basidiomycota; Agaricomycetes; Agaricales; Psathyrellaceae.